Molecule: unclassified non-coding RNA, 146 nt
Organism: Callithrix jacchus (white-tufted-ear marmoset)
Lineage: Eukaryota; Metazoa; Chordata; Mammalia; Primates; Cebidae
Rfam family: Metazoan signal recognition particle RNA
About the family: The signal recognition particle (SRP) is a universally conserved ribonucleoprotein. It is involved in the co-translational targeting of proteins to membranes. The eukaryotic SRP consists of a 300-nucleotide 7S RNA and six proteins: SRPs 72, 68, 54, 19, 14, and 9.
Source: Ensembl
GCUGGGUAUGGUGGCACAUACCUGUAAUCCCAGCUUCUCAGGAGGCUGAGGCAGGAGAAUCACUUGAACCCAGGAGGCAGAGGUUGCCAUGAGCGGAGACUGCCAUUGCACUCUAACCUGGGUGACAGAGUGAGACUCUGUCUCAA